GACGACGCUGGCGGCGUGCCUAACACAUGCAAGUCGAGCGGGGUUGAAGCGAGAGGUAACUCGAACUUCUACCUAGCGGCGGACGGGUGAGUAACGCGUGGGCAACCUGCCUCAAGGGUCUGGGAUAACAGCCCGAAAGGGCUGCUAAUACCGGGUAUGCUUGUGGCCUCGCAUGGGCUACGAGCAAAGGGGAAACCCGCCUUGAGAUGGGCCCGCGUCCCAUCAGCUAGUUGGUGAGGUAACAGCUCACCAAGGCGACGACGGGUAGCCGGCCUGAGAGGGUGACCGGCCACACUGGGACUGAGACACGGCCCGGACUCCUACGGGGGGCAGCAGUGGGGGAUCUUGCACAAUGGGCGAAAGCCUGAUGCAGCGACGCCGCGUGAGCGAAGAAGGCCUUCGGGUUGUAAAGCUCUGUCUGGAGGGACGAAGGAAGUGACGGUACCUCCGGAGGAAGCCACGGCUAACUACGUG
Molecule: ribosomal RNA, 474 nt
Filed under: uncultured bacterium
Lineage: Bacteria
Description: bacterial SSU rRNA
Rfam family: Bacterial small subunit ribosomal RNA
Source: RNAcentral